AAAAAAGCCAACUUGUUCUUUUUCUCCUUUACUACUACUAAUAUAACCAGAUUGAAACUUUAAGUAAAAGAUACACAAUCGGUAUACGAGGCUCCAGCUCCUUCUGAGAAGUUCGGGAUCCAUAAAUCAUUUUUCUUUCCUCUUAGCUGAAUUGCUGUGGAUUUAACAACUAUACUGACUUCAAUGGCUCCAAAUACCAGGAUCAAAAUGGUGGCUUUUAUCCUGUCUUUUGCUGCAAAGGAAAUUUUCUUUGCCGGGAGCCUGACAUUGCUGAUGACAAGAAGGGAUGCUUGUAUAAACUGAAGAGAUCCCUGCAAAAGAACAAAAAGUUGAUUGGAGGUGUUGGUUUGGGAAUUUUAAUCUUUGAGGUGGCAGCCAUGGUGAUCUCCAUGAUCCUAUUUUUCAAAAUUGAUGAUCUUUCAUAUGACUGAGAUCUCUGCUGGUACUGCCUCCCUCCCUGCUGUGAGAACCUCACACAUCUAAGCGAUGAUAUUUACUGCAUGAAAAAUGCUACUUUGUAUUAAUAAAUAAUGCUAUGUAUUCA
Molecule: long non-coding RNA, 544 nt
Filed under: Monodelphis domestica (gray short-tailed opossum)
Lineage: Eukaryota; Metazoa; Chordata; Mammalia; Didelphimorphia; Didelphidae
Description: lncRNA (ENSMODG00000044122.1)
Source: RNAcentral